This 336-nucleotide ribosomal RNA is filed under the name Pipistrellus tenuis (least pipistrelle). RNAcentral's name for it is "partial large subunit ribosomal RNA". It matches the Rfam family "Bacterial large subunit ribosomal RNA", at positions 2203 to 2621 of the family's 2925-position model. The record is from RNAcentral. Lineage: Eukaryota; Metazoa; Chordata; Mammalia; Chiroptera; Vespertilionidae.
AGCCAAUUAUCUCCCAUGACUCCUCACGAGGAACAAACUAACUAUGAUUGAGCUAGCAAUUUAGGUUGGGGUGACCUCGGAAUAAAAUCUAACCCCCGAGAAAAAUUUCGCCAGACUUACAAGUCAAAGCCAUACUGAUAUAAAAUGACCCGCCAAUGGCGACCAACGAAACAAGUUACCCUAGGGAUAACAACGCAAUCCUAUUCAAGAGUCCAUAUCGACAAUUAGGGUUUACGACCUCGAUGUUGGAUCAGGACAUCCCAAUGGUGUAGCAGCUAUUAAUGUGUUCGUUUGUUCAACGAUUAAAGUCCUACGUGAUCUGAGUUCAGACCGAAA